GUGGCGGACGGGUGAGUAACGCGUAGGUAUCUAUCCAUGGGUGGGGGAUAACUCUGGGAAACUGGGGCUAAUACCGCAUGACACCUGAGGGUCAAAGGCGCGAGUCGCCUGUGGAGGAGCCUGCGUUCGAUUAGCUAGUUGGUGGGGUAAUUGCCUACCAAGGCGAUGAUCGAUAGCUGGUCUGAGAGGAUGAUCAGCCACACUGGGACUGAGACACGGCCCAGACUCCUACGGGAGGCAGCAGUGGGGAAUAUUGGACAAUGGGCGCAAGCCUGAUCCAGCAAUGCCGCGUGUGUGAAGAAGGUCUUCGGAUUGUAAAGCACUUUCGACGGGGACGAUGAUGACGGUACCCGUAGAAGAAGCCCCGGCUAACUUCGUGCCAGCAGCCGCGGUAAUACGAAGGGGGCUAGCGUUGCUCGGAAUGACUGGGCGUAAAGGGCGCGUAGGCGGUUUGGACAGUCAGAUGUGAAAUUCCUGGGCUUAACCUGGGGGCUGCAUUUGAUACGUCAGGACUAGAGUGUGAGAGAGGGUUGUGGAAUUCCCAGUGUAGAGGUGAAAUUCGUAGAUAUUGGGAAGAACAUCUAGUU
RNAcentral lists this ribosomal RNA (587 nucleotides) under Gluconacetobacter sacchari. Its description in RNAcentral is "bacterial SSU rRNA". It matches the Rfam family "Bacterial small subunit ribosomal RNA", at positions 95 to 715 of the family's 1533-position model. The record is from RNAcentral. Lineage: Bacteria; Pseudomonadati; Pseudomonadota; Alphaproteobacteria; Acetobacterales; Acetobacteraceae.